This 215-nucleotide long non-coding RNA is filed under the name Elaeis guineensis (African oil palm). Its description in RNAcentral is "long non-coding RNA (EGUI_LNC076025)". The record is from RNAcentral. Lineage: Eukaryota; Viridiplantae; Streptophyta; Magnoliopsida; Arecales; Arecaceae.
CAACCUUCCGGAUCAAUCACCAUCCUCGUGAUGAUCUUAUGGUCAAGAGCUGUUUAUGAGUUAGUUAUGUAAAUUCAUGCCUUAAAUUUUCAACUCUUGAAAAUAUGAAUUUAUAUUCCCACUAACUCAAAGGAUGUAUCACAGGCACAAUGUACAUAAUGUGAUAGAAGAAUAACCCUUUUAUUCAUUUAUAGUCAAAAUUAUAAAUUUGCCCU